UAGGGAAUCUUCCACAAUGGGCGAAAGCCUGAUGGAGCAACGCCGCGUGGGUGAAGAAGGUCUUCGGAUCGUAAAACCCUGUUGUCAGAAAAGAAAGUGCAUGAGAGUAACUGUUCAUGUUUCGACGGUAUCUGACCAGAAAGCCACGGCUAACUACGUG
Molecule: ribosomal RNA, 160 nt
Filed under: uncultured bacterium
Lineage: Bacteria
Description: partial 16S ribosomal RNA
Rfam family: Bacterial small subunit ribosomal RNA
Source: RNAcentral